This 881-nucleotide long non-coding RNA is filed under the name Phascolarctos cinereus (koala). RNAcentral describes it as "lncRNA (ENSPCIG00000033561.1)". The record is from RNAcentral. Lineage: Eukaryota; Metazoa; Chordata; Mammalia; Diprotodontia; Phascolarctidae.
UGGGGGCACCUGGGAUGGAAUCAAAUGCAUCUGCAGUGUCCUCUUCUAUGGCACUAAGUGUGAAUUGGUUUCAGACAGCCUUCCCAUAGGUAAGCCAAACAUCUCUGGGUCUCAGGGCUCUGAGCAUAGCUUCAUCAACAGCUGAGGUGAGUAUAGGGGAGUGAAAGGGGACGAAAGGUACCCGAACAAUCCUCAGGGACAAGGUGGAAGGUCACAAAGCACGGGGGAUAGAGAGGGUUCAUUCUGAAUGAUUUGUAUGCUCAUAAUCAAGUCCAUUUCCACCAGGAACUCCUCCAGAAGAGGUCAAUGCUACCGUGGGAGUGAAAGUGACUGUGACCAAUAUGGAAUUUACAAAGGACUUAGAAAACACAUCUUCGGAUGCCUACAAGAGUUUCGCUGAACUGUUCAAAACACAGAUGGAUACCAUUUUCCAAAACGUCUCUCACUAUGUUGGUGUGGAGAUCAAGAAGCUUUCAAAUGGCAGUAUACUGGUGGAGUAUGAUGUGAUCCUGUCAACAAGUUUCACCCCAGAUUACAUGACAGAAUUGGAGACUAGUGCAAAGAAGGUAGAGGAAACAAUUACAACAGUAAUCAUUGAGCAAGGAGACACAAACUGCACAGGUAAGUGCCCCAUCUCACCCCUGCUCAAGUUUUUCUCUUAUUACCUCCCUCUACAUACACGAUGCAUAAACUGCCUCUACACUUGCCUUUGUUCCCCCAGGGUCAGUCCCCGUGUCUGUGAUGUCUUCCCUCUCCCUUUGUAUUUGGUGAAUUUUUACCCCUCCUUUAAAAGCCAAUUCAAAAGCCACUUCCCUGGGAAAACCUGCCCUUGGGUUCCUUGUACCUAACCACCUCUCCCCCUCCUACCCCCCACCUCAGGC